UUCGAUUUCUAACUCUCAAAUCACAAUAAUCAUUCCCUUCCUCCAUUCUCCUGUUACAGUUUAUCUCACUCCACAUUCCCUCAAGAAUCGAGUUCCCACUCGCCGGAUCCUCAUUGCUUCAGGCCUUCAAUCGCGAUGAAGGCGGGAGCGCAGCCGGCGGUUAAGGUCGUCGCGCUCUGUGGUUCUCUUCGCAAAAAUUCUACCAACAGAGGCUCUCUCUCCAUUUUUCUGUUUCUGUGCUCUGUUUUUUUGUCGAUUGUUCGUCGUCUAGGGCUCUGAUUCGGCGACCGUUGUUGUAGCGACGGAGAUUGCUGAGUCGAUCGAUGGAUUGGAAAUCGAAUAUGUAGAUAUCUCGCCGUUUCCGAUGCUCAACACCGAUUUGAAGGUUGGUGGAACGUAUCCUCCGGCUGUCGAGGCGUUUCGUCGGAAGAUUCUGGAAGCAGAGAGUGUUCUCUUUGCUUCGCCGGAAUAUAAUUACUCUAUCACCGGUGCACUGGAACUAAGAACUAGUCUUUUUUUUUGCCAACCUCUAUCGAAGAAAUUUAGCCUUAAGGAAUCCCUUAGAUAUGAUACAAAAUGGAUUUGUUCUCUGUGAACCAUAUGAAUUGGAGUUUGAAGAAGGGGAAGGAGAAGGAGUCCUCGACCCCACGGAUAGAAGAGGAUUUAUUCAAUCACAUAGGUUGGGCUCCUAGAAUAUGGCGCCCUUGGGGCUUUCUAUUUGAUUGUAUCAAAAGGCCCAAUGAAUUGGGAUCACGGUUUACUGUAUAAAUCAUAUUUGACCCUUAAUUAUAAGCCAGUGUCGAGUAUUGUUGAAGAUAAUUAGUCUUCUAUAAUGGUUUAACAUAUAUAUCGUAUUUGAUCCUUGAUCAUAGUCUAAUAUCGUAUAUUCAUUUACUGCUCUUUCUAUUUCAUUUGUAAUCUAUUUGAUUCUAUAAAUGAUUAUUAAAAGAGAGCUCUUACCAUCAUUUAGGUGCGGUGAUUUUAGUAAAUAUUCUCACUUUUUUCUAAAAAUAUUGGUUUUUAGAAUGAGUAAUUGCCUCCUUCGGCCAUACUGCCUACCUCGAGAGCAAAUAGCUAAUAGAUUUCACGUAUUGUACGAGGUGUACGAGGUGCACUGAAACAACAUGAGAUUGAAUUUGGGUUAAGUUUAAAUGAAUCGUGUUUAUACACGUCAACUUUUCAUUCAACCUUCUAACUAAUUUUCUUGAUAAGGGUAGUUUUGAAACCUUUAGUUCUUUCAUACUCAUUGAUGG
Long non-coding RNA from Cucurbita maxima (winter squash), 1253 nucleotides. RefSeq lists it as uncharacterized. The transcript has 2 exons. The record is from RefSeq and is a predicted model, not a curated record. NCBI's taxonomy places the organism in Eukaryota, Viridiplantae, Streptophyta, Magnoliopsida, Cucurbitales, Cucurbitaceae.